GCGGCCCCGCCGCUCGCUAUUGGUCAGUUCGAACCAUCACGGCCCGGAGGCCCCGCCCCUCCGGUCGCGGCGGGGAGGGGGGGCGAGGACGCCCCACACGCUCAAGCUGCUGUGAGCCGCGCGGCGGGACGCCGGCAGAUUCGACACCCCGCUCCGCCUCCUCGCGUUUCCGCCGCUCCUCCUCCUCACCGCCCCGCCUCUCCUCCGCCGCGGCAAGCGCAGAUUUCAUUAGCGGCGUUGAUGGCGUUUGCAGCACCACGUUUGCCCGUGCCCAUCAGCAGAUCCAACAAACAUGCACAACUUACAUAAAAUACAAGAAAGUCCAUGGAAGGUUUGGGGUUCCUCACACUUCUAAUCCCCUAGAAAUCCGUAAUUACUCAUUACUAUUAAUAAGAGCUGCUUUUUGCCAUGGCAAAAUAAAACAUAACUCCACUGCCCGUGAACAUGGCAGCUUUGGGAACAGCAACUUGCUUUUGCACUUCAGUGUUUACAGAGACUUACUCCUCAGUUUCACUACAAACAGCACGUUAAAACAUUUUAUUAGAUCUGGGGUUAUCUGAGAAGACUGGUGUGAUACUAGAAAUAUGGUCAGCUUGUACCUAAUCCUAGGAGUAAUUUGAGUUCAUUUAAUGCCUUGCCUGAGCUUAAUUUGUCCCCUUUGGAAUUAGUGCCAUUUUUCUGAUCAAUUCAGAUGUGCCCUGUCCUUCGUGCAAGUCAAUACUCAUGAAAAUCAAGCUGAUCAGGAAAGAAAGAGAGGCAUUCAGAGCAACUGCCUGCCCGCAUAGCCAGCCUCAAAAUGCACUGUGUGAAUUAAUGAGCCAUAAGGAGGAAGGCGUAUUAACAGACAGCCACAUCAAGGAAUUCUUUUCUUUCUCCUCUUAGCUGGAUAUAUUGGAUUAAAAGCCACUAUGAUUGACUUGCAGAUGCAAAAGUUUUGCAUACUUAUGUCCCACUUGUAGGUCAAUCAGACUACAAUAAUCAGGACAGAAAGAUGUUUCAGUGAAAAGGAUCUAAUUUGUUUUGCUGGCAGCACAGAGCAGUUCACAUUGUAUGCUUUAUCCAUCUCCUGUUAUUGACAGCAAUAUUGUUUUUGUGUUGGACUCCUGAACCCAUUUCUUAGGAAAACAACAACUACUACACGAGCAAUGUCAAACUUGUUUUAUUUCAAACUUCUGCAACAGUGCAUUAGUUACUGAUUGAUAUGGAGAAAACCUCCCAGCAGUUUAUUCUCUUUAUAUAAACACGAUAACACUGCAACUUUACAGUAACCAGAACCCUGUCUCUAAAAUACUUGUGCAUAACUGCGAACUGUUUAAAAAAAAAGCUCGAUUUCAUUAUUGCCAACUUGUUUCUGAACUGUAGUCUCCCCUCAUGAUUUCAAAUUCUAUUACAGUAAAAAUUCCUGGCUCUGUUGACCCAUGGAUUGCUGUCAUCAACAUAUUAAAUACAAAGCUAAACUAAUGUUUUUGAGUCUCAUGACUGCAAAUUAGUUACAGAAAUGAGAAACAACAUGUGGAAGGGAAUGAAAUAGGUACAGUUGGUCCAGAGUCUCAUAAAGAGCACAAAGUCAAAGAAGGCACUGCAGAAAGGAAAAAUCAAACGUCAUUUUAAAAACAGGUUGUUCCUAACAGACUAUAAAGAGUACGCUUUUCUGCAUCAUAUUGAAAGAUCAAGUUUUUAUGAAUCAGGUUUAACUUUGUUUAAAAUAUCUCUCCAAAAAUGAGCUUCUCUCAAGCUGACUUUUCAGUUGUUUUAAAAAUGUGUUAUUUCAACCAGCACAAGCUGGGCAGAACCAAUUUCACAGGUAAGCAUUCUUCACAAAUUAACGCAGCAAAAAAAAAAAACAUGUUUAGGUGGGGCUUUUGAAUCAGUUUGUUUUACGAGACUAAAUCAAGGGUUGGUUUGUCGUUUCUUUUUAAGUACCUUAUGUGCCACAGAGCAAACUGAAAAAAAAAAAAA
Anas platyrhynchos (mallard) is the source of this 1959-nucleotide long non-coding RNA. RefSeq lists it as uncharacterized. NCBI's taxonomy places the organism in Eukaryota, Metazoa, Chordata, Aves, Anseriformes, Anatidae. The record is from RefSeq and is a predicted model, not a curated record.